RNAcentral lists this long non-coding RNA (203 nucleotides) under Elaeis guineensis (African oil palm). RNAcentral's name for it is "long non-coding RNA (EGUI_LNC021590)". The record is from RNAcentral. Lineage: Eukaryota; Viridiplantae; Streptophyta; Magnoliopsida; Arecales; Arecaceae.
CUGCUUUUGUUAUUCAAAGGGAGAACUCUGCCACUUGCUUUCUUGGAGAUUCUGCUCAAUUGAAGCCGAGCUACCGUUGACCCCGUCUUCGCCCCUCGUUUGCUCAGCCAUGUUAUCCUAUAGGUUAGUUCUUUAUUAUUUAUCAUGAGUGCAUUGAGUUCGUCCCCAUCCACCUAGAAUUUGGGUGACAAUGUAAGAGGCAC